GGGACCGUGGGGCUGGCAGCCGGGGCGGGGAGCGGUCAGCGGAGGCCACGCCCACGGCGGGACGCCCCGCCCACCUCCAGCCCGCCCAGAGCGCAGCUUCUUCCACUGCCUUUGGAGUUUUGAGAUUCCUAACGCUAACUCUUGAAGCACUGUCUUCGGGUACGAGUGUUGCAAACCUCACAUUUCAUACUGAGUGUGUUCGUGGUCCUGGCGUCAGGCUGCUUUCACUAAGAUUGCUGCUACACGCACUUGCACACGAGCCUUUCCCUGGGGAGGAGCUUCGGGGCCGGGGACCAGAGCGCACGUGCUUUCAACGUCACCCGCCAACACGCCCGGUUCACAGCAAGGCGGCGCCACCUGGUGAUCUCAAGGGCACACGCCACUGUUUUGGUUGGUAUUCUGCAACUCUUGGAUUUUUUAAAAAACACUCUUUAUUUGGCUGCGUCGGAUCUCAGUUGCAGCAUGUGAGACCGUCACGGUCAUGGGGUCUUCCAUUGUGGCUCAUGGACUCUGGUUGAAGCAAGCGGGCUUCAGGAGCUGCCGUCCUUGUGCUUAGUUGCCCCAAGGCAGGAGGGGUCUUUGUUCCCAGACCAAGGAUCAAACCUACGUCCCCAGCAUUGCAGGGCGGCUUCGUAAGCAUUCAGCCGCCAGGUCUCUCCAGGGAAGCCCCGCUGCAACGCUCGGGUUUUUGAGACGCUGGUGAGAAAGAAACCUCUUUGAGCUUUUCAUGCUGUUUCAUCAGUUACUAGAGAAGCUGAGUCUUCCUGAGUUCCGUGAAGCAUCCGUUUGAAUCUUUAGUUCAGUUUCCGGGGAUGGUUGUCUUUUCCUUGCUAAUUUGCACGGCUUUUAUGUAUACUCUGGCCGUGAGCUCUUUGCGGUGAAAUCACGGAAGCUCUUGACUAGUCCGACGUGUCCGUUUUCUGCUCUAUCCUUUGCGCCUUUUGGUGCUAUGGGGUGUUUAUCCACGGCUAGUGGAUUCGUG
Molecule: long non-coding RNA, 982 nt
Organism: Ovis aries (sheep)
Lineage: Eukaryota; Metazoa; Chordata; Mammalia; Artiodactyla; Bovidae
Source: Ensembl